AUACUUAUGUGGCAGGGAAGAGAGCCAUGAUCACAGAGACGGUUAGAGGCUUGUAAAUUGUAUUCGGGCCAUUCUGACCCCUGUGAUUUCCCCAAAUGUGGGAAACUCAACUGGGUUC
Small nuclear RNA from Ursus americanus (American black bear), 118 nucleotides. Its record names the gene U1. It matches the Rfam family "U1 spliceosomal RNA". From Rfam's summary of the family: U1 is a small nuclear RNA (snRNA) component of the spliceosome (involved in pre-mRNA splicing). Its 5' end forms complementary base pairs with the 5' splice junction, thus defining the 5' donor site of an intron. The record is from Ensembl. Lineage: Eukaryota; Metazoa; Chordata; Mammalia; Carnivora; Ursidae.